This is a long non-coding RNA of Lycium barbarum (goji berry), 950 nucleotides long. RefSeq lists it as uncharacterized. NCBI's taxonomy places the organism in Eukaryota, Viridiplantae, Streptophyta, Magnoliopsida, Solanales, Solanaceae. The transcript is spliced from 3 exons. The record is from RefSeq and is a predicted model, not a curated record.
UUCUCUCAUUAUUGCUCAUAUUUGUUUAUGAUUUCCGAUUUGACAAUCUAGGUCUCACGAUAUUCCCUCUUUUUGUAUUUAUUGUUUAUCUUUAUAUGUCUAUGUAGAUUUAAAUGCGGUAGUAUUAUUUUCGUCUUGUUAACUUGAAACGCUUGUCAUCAGCGAGAACAAUCGGGAAGCAAAAUCGGAAGUAGCUACGGUCCAAGUAUUUUCGAAUGAUUUGAGAGAACAGAGAUAGAAAGAAACAUCUUGUGACCUCAAGUCAUUUCUUCGAAAAUCUAUUAGUCGUAAGCCUCGUAUAAGAAAUUUCGGAUUCCUAUUGUUUAUGUGACAACCAAAGAUUUUCAAUGAAUCACUCUACUUAGCCAGCUUCAACAAAUACAUAUAUAUAUCCAACAGGAACCUUGACUUCCGAUCACGGGAGACCAUUUCAUUUAUUAAACCUGUUGCAUAUCAGUCUCUCCAUUUUCAGCCUUCUACACUAUCAGUUGCAAAUAUUUUGAUGCAUGAACAAGGUGGCACUGCAAUAUAAUGGCCAAGUAUUCUUAAAUGACUUUAGGAGACAGGAACAUGAGAAUCGCAUUGAUGGCUUGGGAAACUGGCAGAGCUUUCGUCACACUCACAUAUCACCGGGAGUAAUAUAUUUGGGAUGCAGAAAACGGGGCUGAAUAACAACAUGUCGACGUACAACAAUGAUGAAACUGAGGCAAGGGGAAAAGAUUCUAUUGCACGCCCACUUGUACCAAGGAUGACGAGAAAGAUUAUCUUGCUAUUGGAUUAAUGUUAUGUAGGGUUGUGUUCUCCAUUGUCUCGCAGGAUAAAUAUUUAUGAACAACUAUAUUGUAUGAUGACUAUUGAUGACACCAAUUAUUAGACUUCGUGAAAUUAGUUAUUGGAUUCAAAUGGUGUAUUUUUUCUAUUAUGUUGGUUAUUCAAAAUUAUGGUUUAAU